This 492-nucleotide ribosomal RNA is filed under the name uncultured bacterium. Its description in RNAcentral is "partial 16S ribosomal RNA". It matches the Rfam family "Bacterial small subunit ribosomal RNA", at positions 29 to 507 of the family's 1533-position model. The record is from RNAcentral.
AGUGAACGCUGGCGGUAGGCCUAACACAUGCAAGUCGAACGGCAGCACAGUAAGAGCUUGCUCUUACGGGUGGCGAGUGGCGGACGGGUGAGGAAUACAUCGGAAUCUACUUUUUCGUGGGGGAUAACGUAGGGAAACUUACGCUAAUACCGCAUACGACCUACGGGUGAAAGCAGGGGAUCUUCGGACCUUGCGCGAUUGAAUGAGCCGAUGUCGGAUUAGCUAGUUGGCGGGGUAAAGGCCCACCAAGGCGACGAUCCGUAGCUGGUCUGAGAGGAUGAUCAGCCACACUGAAACUGAGACACGGUCCAGACUCCUACGGGAGGCAGCAGUGGGGAAUAUUGGACAAUGGGCGCAAGCCUGAUCCAGCCAUACCGCGUGGGUGAAGAAGGCCUUCGGGUUGUAAAGCCCUUUUGUCGGGAAAGAAAAGCAGCAGGUUAAUACCCCGCUGUUCUGACGGUACCCAAAGAAUAAGCACCGGCUAACUUCGUG